GGCGAGUUUCUAAACCCAAGGAAGCUCCCAUGAACUCUGUGAGGUUCCCCUAGAUCCAGCAAGAGCCCAACGGGCUGACAGCUGCUCUCACCAGCGGCAGGGAUUUAUGUGCCACAUUUCAAAGGACAUGCAUUUUAAGGAUUUCUUGCUGUGUGAGAAACCAUUGGGGCAAAAUGGAGUAGAAGAAAAGUACACCUGAUUGUAAUUAAUGCUGACAGUAAUCUCCAGCUUUCAUUCUGAAAACAGCCAGAUGGGAAAGUUGGAACUGUUAAUAAUAGAAAACGUUGCCAUCCGCAGUUCCUGGAGUCAUAACUCUUUAAAGGCUGUUUGGAUUCCAGAUCUCUACAGACCAGCCCAAGCCAGAUGCUCCUCAGACUCUGCACUGCCAUGGGCCAUGAUAAAAUCUUACAAGGAGCCAUAACUGAAGAAUAGUAGAGCAGAUCUGAUUGAAAUGGGGGCCAGAUGCCCAAGACCUCUCGCUGCAGAGGGCUUCUUUCUGAGCCACGGAGUGAUCACAGGGGGUCCCCUGAAGCGCUGGAGCCAGGCAGAAGCAUUCUGGAAUUGGUGGACUUACUUUGAAAACGAGGAGAGUGAAACAGAUUUGCCAAGGAGAAAGGAAAAGCCGAGUCAGAGGCUGCCUUCUGCCUCGGAUCUGGCUGGUCUGGCUGACAGAAGGGAGCAAGCCCACCACCCUGAGGCAGGAGGGCAGGGCCCGUGGUACAAAUGUGCUGAGCAAGUUGUGAUGAGAAAUGAACACAAGUGUAACAAACAGGAAGGAUUUUAAAGAUUUCUCUACCAUGCAGACUCUGUUAACCGUUGCCAUCAAUCAACCCAGAGAGCAGAGAUACACGGCCUUUUGUCCACAGCUGCAAUUCCCAGAAUGUGUUCCUCAGAAUCCUGAUCAUGUGUGAUGGCCCUUGAAAACUGUUCCACACUGAAAUAAAUUUUAGAAAUGCUGCGGAGUUUUUCAUUCUUCUCCUAAAGAUGAGCAGGGCAUAUUCGCUUAUGAACUGCCCUGAGAAGUCCUGUAGAAAAGAAAUAUUUCCCCAAAACUUAUUUGGUCUCGGGACACUUUUCCCUUUUGCAAGCACUUGUUAAUGUUUCACAGAACGACUGUUCCCCAGGACACUGUUGGGAAGCACUGGUAUGGGAAGAUGAUGUCAUAGCUCAUCUAGCUAUGAUGGUUUAAGAAGGUACCUUGGAAAGGGAAGUCACUCUCUACUUGGUAUGUCAUUCUCCACAGGCCUGGUCAAAUGUGGCCCAGUAGAGGGCAAGGUGCUGGGAAGUAGGAGGCUGGGAGGAUGCACUCGUAUUUUAGGAUGGGAAGAAGGACCAGGAGAGAGCUUCCUAGAGUCUUCUCUCCCAGAAGCAGCAGCCAUAAGGUCAUCUUUCUCUGUGAGG
RNAcentral lists this long non-coding RNA (1401 nucleotides) under Callithrix jacchus (white-tufted-ear marmoset). Its description in RNAcentral is "lncRNA (ENSCJAG00000083296.1)". The record is from RNAcentral. Lineage: Eukaryota; Metazoa; Chordata; Mammalia; Primates; Cebidae.